This 343-nucleotide ribosomal RNA is filed under the name uncultured Pseudomonadota bacterium. RNAcentral's name for it is "bacterial SSU rRNA". It matches the Rfam family "Bacterial small subunit ribosomal RNA", at positions 29 to 351 of the family's 1533-position model. Lineage: Bacteria; Pseudomonadati; Pseudomonadota. The record is from RNAcentral.
AGUGAACGCUGGCGGCGUGCUUAACACAUGCAAGUCGCACGAGAAAGCUUCUGCUUGCAGAGGCGAGUAAAGUGGCGCACGGGUGAGUAACACGUGGGUAAUCUACCUUCGAAUUGGGGAUAACAACGCGAAAGCGAUGCUAAUACCGAAUGACAUCGUAGCUUCUUAGGAAGCUGCGAUCAAAGGUGGCCUCUUCAUGAAAGCUACUGUUUGAAGAUGAGCCCGCGUCCCAUUAGCUAGUUGGUAGGGUAACGGCCUACCAAGGCUUCGAUGGGUAGCUGGUCUGAGAGGAUGAUCAGCCACACUGGAACUGAAACACGGUCCAGACUCCUACGGGAGGCUG